UUUUCAAGAUGAAAAGUUGCUAAAGAAAGAGAAAGGGAAGCGGUUUGCUCCAGUGUUCCUCUUUCUACCUUCCCACUGACUGGGAAGUGGCCGUUAGCAGAGCCACAGCCUUGGAUUAGAGAUAAGAGGCACAUGCUGAGGAAGGUGGAGUCUCCCCCACAGCCCUGGACCAGAAAUUAGUUGAUAACACCUUCCAGGAGACCUAUGGCCAUCCUACUGAUAUGAACCAGAUCAUACCCGCCCUGAUGGGAUGCCAGAGAAAGACUGCUGCAGGGGCUCCUCUGGAAACAGAACAGAGGGAGGAAGAUACCUUCCCUGAAGCCCAGAUGUUCCAGAAGCCUGCACCUCAUUCACAAAGUCACCCCAAAAAUGCCCUAGAGUUUGGAGUUUUGAAGAAGCGGGAAGAAAGCCUGAGUAAGGGCCUGGGAACCAAGUUAGAUCCUGAUUCAGCGUCAGCACACACCAGCAAUGGCACACACAGGUGGAGAGCAGCCUGCCCAUCUUUUCCAUAGUGCGCACAGACCCAUUUAGGAUGAAAGAUCAGAAAAUUCUAUCCAUGUCACCACUUCUGAAACAUGUGAAUAUUAAUUUUUGGAGACUAAAAGGCCAUGGCAAGUUUUCAUUGGUUUUAUCUUAUUCAUGAUUAUAGAGUUGAAAGAAUACAUAUUCCCAUGGGAAUCAAUGAAGACAUACUCAUUUUGAAUGA
This is a long non-coding RNA of Nomascus leucogenys (northern white-cheeked gibbon), 706 nucleotides long. RefSeq lists it as uncharacterized. The transcript is spliced from 3 exons. Lineage: Eukaryota; Metazoa; Chordata; Mammalia; Primates; Hylobatidae. The record is from RefSeq and is a predicted model, not a curated record.